Molecule: long non-coding RNA, 451 nt
Organism: Apus apus (common swift)
Lineage: Eukaryota; Metazoa; Chordata; Aves; Apodiformes; Apodidae
Exons: 2
Source: RefSeq, a predicted model, not a curated record
CCUGGAGGACGCCAGCCCCCCAAGCCUCAGGCCAGCCAUGGCACCCAGGGCCACAGUGAUGGGAGAACUGGAGCCAGCACGGACAUUCGGAAAUAACAAACAACAACAAAGAAAAUAAUGCACAACACAGGAGCAAAAAAACUUCAAGAAGACCCAACAAUCAACUCUUCCACCAAACUCCAACAGUCCUUGAAAAGGCAAAAGAUAAAAACGGGAAGAUGGAACAAACACAUCAAAUACAAGUUAUAGAAGCAGUCUUCUCUUAUUUAUUGAUAAGGAAGCACCAAAGUAUACUUGUAAAGGAAAAAAAAAAAAAAAAUCACAUUAAUUUUAUUUCUCAACAUUGCAAAAUAUAAAAAGGCUGCUUAGAAACAUCCUGGCUUUAUAUCUGAACACACUCUCCUACACAGAGUUCAAAAUCAUGUAUCUUAAUAAAACUAAAAUGCACACA